This 73-nucleotide transfer RNA is filed under the name Dipodomys ordii (Ord's kangaroo rat). It matches the Rfam family "tRNA". From Rfam's summary of the family: Transfer RNA (tRNA) molecules are approximately 80 nucleotides in length. Their secondary structure includes four short double-helical elements and three loops (D, anti-codon, and T loops). The record is from Rfam by way of RNAcentral. Lineage: Eukaryota; Metazoa; Chordata; Mammalia; Rodentia; Heteromyidae.
GGGAAGGUGGCUCAGUGGUAGAGCGCUCGCCUAGCAUGCAGGAAGCCCUGGGUUCCAUUCCUCAGCACCCCCC